UUUAACUUCAAACAAACACAUGCAGUUAGUGGCUACUGCUUUGAAUAGUUUAGGUCUACAAGAUCUCCAAUAGCCCAGAACAGCCCCAGAAAUCUCUGUAUACCUACAUCCCAUGAAUCUAAUAAAGGCUUGGACAAGAAGUAAAUCAGUUAUUGUUAUUAAUAAUAGCCUCCAAUUAUUAAAUUAAAGAUUGGGCAUCAAUUCAAAUGACUAACAUCAAGGACAAGAAAAGCACUGUAUAAAAAGUCUGAAACAAAACUAGUUUGCAUUUUGCAAUUUAGUAGUAUGACAUCUCUUCAAUAUUUGGUCAAACCUCAAUUUUGAAGUGUUGAGAAUGGGACUAAAGAGCUUCGAGUUAAAAAAAAGACUUGCAAUGCUCCCAUCUUUGGCAGAUGUGGAAUUUCUACCAUUCAAUUUGCAUACAGAUUCUCUUAUUAAGACAGAUGCAACUAAAAUUAAGUUUCUGUUUGACUGAGAAGACAACUGAUUUCUCCUAUCACUGACCUGAAAUGCUCCUGGAAAAUUGCUUUGCUUCAUUCAUCACACUGCCACUCCCAGCAAGGCCCUUAAAGUUCAUGAGGCACAAACUUGCUUUGUUAGCCAAGCUGUUACACAAGAAACCUAAGUCCUCAUUUCCACGUGCUGACAAAUCAUUUCCCAAGUCCAUUAAUGCGUUCAAAACUUGAUUCCUGGAACUUCUGAAGUAGAAAAUUAGGGGAGAAAACACUCAUUCAACUUUAGAGGAAGCCGCCAGUCAGUGCCUUGGACAACACUCAUCAAAGGCUAUUUGUUUUCCCCACCUAUCUGGGACAGAAUACUUCUCAUUUAACUAAGCAACAAAUUAAAAGCACACAGUGGGGUGCAUAUCACUACACAUAUGUCCGGCUAAUGAUGCAUGACAAGACUCACACUACCUCCCCCCUAAAAGCUUUACCUCCAGAAUUUCCUAUUUUAAAACAAUACUGGACUAAAAUGUAACAUUCCUGAAGUAAGGAAAAUCACUUCAUGUAAAAGCAGAGUUUGAACUAUGGAACACAAGUCAGUGGAUGCAACCUGCUUGUAUGGUAAGGCUUCAUUUAUAAGGUCCAAGUCAAACUAUCUACAAAGAGUCUUGAAUUGGUACAUCCAUAUAGUGAAAUCCUAUGAAGCAUUUGGAAAACAGUGAAGCAGAUCUAUGUAUACUGCUGUGGAAAGAUAUCCAAGACAUGUUGUGGGGUCAAAGAUAAGUCACAAAACAGUAUGUAUAUUAUGAUUGCAUCUGUGUAUGGUAAUGUAUAUAAACUUUACUAUGUACAGAAAAUGUCUGGAAGCAUCCAUGGAGAAACUGUUCGUGGCAGUUACCGCUCAUAAAUUCAGCAGAUAAGGAUUUUACUUUUCACUUUAUAUCCUUUCAUGUUAUUUUAAAAUAUUCUUAAAAUCAAGAGCUUGUAUUAUUUGUAUAAGUUUAACAUAUUCCUUUAAAAGCACAGAGAGAUCUUUACAGUGGUUUCCUCCAGAAACCACUUAUUUACCAUUACAGUGUUUGAUAAUUGAAAUGAAAAAGUUAAAACUGUUCCUUUUGUAGUUAACAUCAUUGUAAUGUUCCUACGAUAGCUUUUAUUAAUGAAUUUCCAUGGGGGACAGAAGAGAAAAACGCACACAACGGUAUUACAAAACAGAAAAAAAAUAAGGCACUUGCUAGGACAAGGCAAUCCACAAGUGCCAACCAGCUCCAGGGCCAUAAAGAUCUCAGGAGAGCCAUCACAUUUCAAUUACCAUCACUAACAUUACUUAUUAUUUGGCCUGCUCCAGUCCCUAAGGAAGGCAGCUUGUGAUGAUAAUACCCAGCCUCUUCUUGUAAAACAAUUCAUUAGGCAAAGCAGAACAGCUGGGGCAGCCACGUGCGGGUUCUUAAAGCACCGCCCCACUGGGACCUCUGGCCCAGAUUUCCCUUUUCGUGACGGACAGUCACCACCCCUCUGACAGCUGUAGAGUCCUCCGGGGACACUUCAGGUUUAAUCAGUACUUCCUGCACUGGAGAGGGUCAUUUGAUUUCUAACAUAAACUAAUGGCAAUCCUGCUUACAGCAGGUUACACCAGACAUCAGAUAAGAGGCUUUAGGGCAUUUUUAUCUUGUUCUAAUGCUCGAGAGUUAAUGAGGCAGCAAAAGAUAUUGUCAUAGAGCCCCGGUGUAGCUAUAUUAUCCAAUAAACAGACUCUUUCCAAGACAGGUUUAAUAUGGAUCGAGGAGGUAAAGAAGGCUAGCUUAAUAUUGAUCCUACUGAGAGGAUGAGAAUCCAGUCACCAUAACUAGGGCAAAAUCAUGCACAUUCUGCAGUAGACAAAGUGCUACAAGAAGCAUUAAGAAAGCCUUGAAGACAGAUCUGAUCUGACAAAAUGGACACUGUCUCCACUGUUAAUUUGCAUUUUUCAAGAGCUCCAUAGCUGCAUGUUGAUGAUUCUGUCAUGCACAAAAGGU
Homo sapiens (human) is the source of this 2458-nucleotide long non-coding RNA. RefSeq lists it as uncharacterized. The transcript is spliced from 3 exons. The record is from RefSeq and is a predicted model, not a curated record. NCBI's taxonomy places the organism in Eukaryota, Metazoa, Chordata, Mammalia, Primates, Hominidae.